GCCCAAGGUGAUUCCCUCUCCAAAGGGCUGACUAUGUGCCCUUUUUAGGAACGUAGCAACUUGGAAGAAAGCCAGGCAUGUCCAAGGUCUCUGGGGAACAAGGAAUACUUGUUUCCUUUGCCCUCCUUUGGCAGCCUACAUAU
Rattus norvegicus (Norway rat) is the source of this 143-nucleotide small nucleolar RNA. Ensembl annotates it as small nucleolar RNA SNORA67. The record is from Ensembl. NCBI's taxonomy places the organism in Eukaryota, Metazoa, Chordata, Mammalia, Rodentia, Muridae.